This 417-nucleotide ribosomal RNA is filed under the name uncultured Sphingobacterium sp. RNAcentral's name for it is "bacterial SSU rRNA". It matches the Rfam family "Bacterial small subunit ribosomal RNA", at positions 9 to 423 of the family's 1533-position model. The record is from RNAcentral. Lineage: Bacteria; Pseudomonadati; Bacteroidota; Sphingobacteriia; Sphingobacteriales; Sphingobacteriaceae.
GAGUUUGAUCUUGGCUCAGGAUGAACGCUAGCGGCAGGCUUAACACAUGCAAGUCGAGGGGCAGCACGGGUAGCAAUACCUGGUGGCGACCGGCAAACGGGUGCGGAACACGUACGCAAUUUACCUUUAUCUGGGAGAUAGCCCGGAGAAAUCCGGAUUAAUACCCCAUAACAUAUACAUAAGGCAUCUUAUGAAUAUUAAAGCUCAGGCGGAUAGAGAUGAGCGUGCGUCCCAUUAGCUAGUUGGCAGGGUAAAGGCCUACCAAGGCGACGAUGGGUAGCUGGUGUGAGAGCACGACCAGCCACACGGGCACUGAGACACGGGCCCGACUCCUACGGGAGGCAGCAGUAGGGAAUCUUCCGCAAUGGACGAAAGUCUGACGGAGCAACGCCGCGUGAACGAAGAAGGCCUUCGGUC